RNAcentral lists this ribosomal RNA (497 nucleotides) under uncultured bacterium. RNAcentral's name for it is "partial 16S ribosomal RNA". It matches the Rfam family "Bacterial small subunit ribosomal RNA", at positions 28 to 507 of the family's 1533-position model. The record is from RNAcentral.
GAUGAACGCUGGCGGUGUGCCUAAUACAUGCAAGUCGAGCGAACAGACGAGGAGCUUACUCCUCUGACGUUAGCGGCGGACGGGUGAGUAACACGUGGAUAACCUACCUAUAAGACUGGGAUAACUUCGGGAAACCGGAGCUAAUACCGGAUAACAUGUUGAACCGCAUGGUUCAACAGUGAAAGACGGUCUUGCUGUCACUUAUAGAUGGAUCCGCGUCGCAUUAGCUAGUUGGUAAGGUAACGGCUUACCAAGGCAACGAUGCGUAGCCGACCUGAGAGGGUGAUCGGCCACACUGGAACUGAGACACGGUCCAGACUCCUACGGGAGGCAGCAGUAGGGAAUCUUCCGCAAUGGGCGAAAGCCUGACGGAGCAACGCCGCGUGAGUGAAGAAGGUCUUCGGAUCGUAAAACUCUGUUAGUAGGGAAGAACAAAUGUGUAAGUAACUAUGCACGUCUUGACGGUACCUAAUCAGAAAGCCACGGCUAACUACGUG